Molecule: ribosomal RNA, 207 nt
Filed under: uncultured bacterium
Lineage: Bacteria
Description: partial 16S ribosomal RNA
Rfam family: Bacterial small subunit ribosomal RNA
Source: RNAcentral
CAUGUAGGCGGAUAUGUUAGUCAGAUGUCAAAUCUUCGAGCUUAACUCGAAAACUGCAUUUGAAACGGCAUAUCUUGAGAAAGUGAGAGACCAGUGGAACAUAUGGUGUAGCAGUGAAAUGCGUUGAUAUCAUAUGGAACACCCAAGGCGAAGGCAUCUGGUUGGCACUUUUCUGACGCUGAGAUGCGAAAGCGUGGGUAGCGAAAA